CACGAUGCUCGCUCGCUGCCUUUCAAAUUGCCUGCAAUAAGGCAGCGAGCCUGGAGGGGGAGGUUUAUGAGCCUUGAAGCCCUGUGAGAGGUGAGAGAGAACACCAUAAAAUCCAGAAUUGCUAGAAAGCCACAGACUCCUCCUCUGAAGCGCCAAAAAUAGAAAGUGGGAAGUCAAAUUAAUAGCGCCGGGAGUGACAGGGGAAACGGGGCCAUGUGUGCGGCUCUGCAGAGGUAGACAAGAACAUCCACUUGGAACGCCUCAUGAGCCAGGUGCUGCACUGAGGAAGAGCACUCAUGAUUUCUCUUCAUCCCCGGCACAACCUGAGGAGACCUGACGCACACUUUCAUAGAAACGAAUUCAGCAGAACCUCGCAACAGCCCAGGAAGGUUGAUCCCAAGGCCGUCACCUGAGCUCACAAUCUGAAAUAGGAAAGCACAUAAGAGCAUGGGCCUUUAAUCCCAGCACUCAGGAGGCAGAGGCAGGUGGAUUGAUUUGAAUAUGAGGCCAGCCUGGUCUACAGAAUGAGUUCCAGGCUAGCCAGGGCCACAUAGUGAGACCUUAUCUUGGGGGUGAGGGGAGAAAGUACACAAGGAAUCAACCCCCUAUGAGUUGGGGUACACUUAUAACAACACACAGCAAGAUGAAACCCAUGACAAUUCAGAGUCACCAGCUGCAACAAAGGCCGGGCACGGUGACCCCCCCUGUGGUCCCAGCACUCACUUCAAGGUCAUCCCGCUACAGAACAAGUGUGAGUCAGGCCUGGGCCACCUGCCUCCCACUAAAGAAGAGGUGUGGUGGGUCAAAGGAGCUAUUCCCAAACCGUGUGAAGUGUAAGCAGGGAGAGCAGAGAGAGGAUGAGGAGGGAGAGGGAAGCGCUGUUCACAAGAUUCCACGACUAUUUCUAGCACCAACUUGACCAGGCACUAAUCUUGACUCUUGGAACAAAUGAGAACAGAGAAGAGGCUGUGGGUGAAGAUCUUCCAGAACUGAUCUGGGACAAGAAUUCUCAAUGUCAGGAAAUAAAUCCCAAGAUAGACCAAAUCCUCUUUGGACACACCAGAUACACCUAAUUAAGGUGGGGGGUGGCUUCUAAAAAUCAGGAAGAAAACUCGGGUUUCCCACAAGCAGUGAUGUCCGGACAGAUGGCAGACUUCUCAGUAACUAUAGAGAUCAGAAGACAAGUCCUCACGGCCGCUGCGGUGCUGGGGUGGUGCCAGAGCUUGGAACAUGCUAGGACACGCUCUACCACUGGACUAUACCCCUAGCCCUUCACCGCUCUUACAGGGAGGUAUCUGGAAACUCGGACCACCCCAAGCUAAGGAGACAUUUGAGAUUGAGUGUAACGUGAACAAAUCCCCAGCCAAACCCUAGUUAGACAAUUGUAGAAACAUGGAUCUAGAAUGUGGUACUGAAAUAAGGAAUUAUUUUUAGUGCUAUAAUAUUGUAGUGAAAUAAAUGUCCUUUGAAAAAAAAUCUAUUAUUUAAGGCCAUCCAGCUCCUCAGCAUCUUCAUCCUGCUGGCAGGCUUUCCCUGUCUGUGUACCGUCUCUCUGCUUUCUCUUUAAACUCAGCCUCUGCAACCAGCUUCAACUUACACAGCCCUUGGCCUUCCCGUGUUCCACUGCUACGGAGGCCAUGGCAGCUCCCAACAGCACCUGCUGCCUGCCUGAUUCCCUGACAGGGAGCAGUCUUCACAGUGACUUUCUGUGGUUGGCAGGAGGCCUUUGCUCAGGUCCUGUUCUGUUCCUCUUCCCGGCUGAGUGUAGGGAGCUGGGCCCUGUGGUCCACGUCACUGUCUAACUGCCUUUGAUUGCUUAGCGUUUGUCUAGAGGGUGAGCAUGACUGAAUCAGAGUGUGGAAGGCAGUUAGGUCCUUGUCUAGAGAAACUGUGAUCAUUCCUACCUUCCGCCUCCGUCUGUCCCUGUCCAGGACUGCUCCUGUCCUAGAUGCCGACUGGAGAACCAGUAGGGCCAGCGCAGGCAGAGCUGAAAGCAUUUCUCCUCCAUUUCUUCUGAACAUAAUUUACCGGUAGGGUGGAACACUGGGUGACCUGAUCCUUUGACUUUGCAAUUCUUUCCGUUCAUAGGUGUCAAUCCAGAGCACAGAGAGUGUCAAGGAGAAACACUGAAUUCACCGUUGUCUUCAACUCACCAUGUGGACACUGCACCCUUGAAUUUGUCAUUUCUCUUAGCCAGGGUGAGGUUCCUGCCAGGGCACCGCUGUGUGCAAACUCUUCCUGUAUGACAGACAGGGAUUUCCUGGCAUCUUCAGCACUGAUGGAUGGGACAGCACAGGCAGCCAUGGUCCCUCCCCCCCAUCACUCUGCUGCUCCAAGGCCAGUCGUUAAUAAGGCAAAGGAGCCUGUGAUGGUCCUGCAGCUGCUGCGGACCUCUUCUCAGCACAGUGAGACACUGUACACAGUGCACUGCCCGGUGCCCUGGAAGGUUCCAGUAAAGUCGAGAAAAUGUACAGAGAAACUAAUCUUGUACAUGAUGUUUUUCAUGGAGGCUUAAGGAUGCUGGCAAGGAUGCAGGGAGGCAAACUCCCCACCUCCCUACAUGGGACUGUAAACCUUGGGGACUCUUUGUUCCCUCAUAGUAACGCAUCUCAUUUCUAAAUUGGAGCUAAUAGGAUUUUGUGCCCAGGAUUAUUAUAUUGUUGAUAAUUUUCUGAAACACACGGUAACAACUAGUAAGCAAGAGAAACAGCAGGUUGCACCACAUGGAUUCUGGUAGCAACGUGUGCUGGGCGCACCUUCUCCAGUGGGCCUGGGAAGGCUUUGUUCUUUAGCUUCCCUGUGGUUAAAUAGAGCUGCUGGUGCAGGGCCGCUUGCCUUGAUCAGUGACUUCUGCUCGGCACCAGAAGAAAAGACAGACAUGUUUUUAUAAUAUAAGCAUACUUUCUUUGUACACCGUGUUCAUUCUUGAAUAAAGUGAGCUCACUGUUGGCUUGUAGAUGUUAAAAAGAAAGUAUUGAUUCCGAUUCAAUAAAUGUUUUCUUUU
Peromyscus maniculatus bairdii (prairie deer mouse) is the source of this 3004-nucleotide non-coding RNA. The record is from RefSeq and is a predicted model, not a curated record. Lineage: Eukaryota; Metazoa; Chordata; Mammalia; Rodentia; Cricetidae.